UUUUUUUUUUUUUUUUUUUUUUUUUUCCUGUGUGGACGUCCAGCCGUUCCAGCACCAUUUGUUGAAAAACUAACUUUGCCCAUUGUAUUGUCUUUGUUCCCACUACCAGUUGGCUCUAUUUGUGUGUGUCUAUUUCAGGAUUCUAUUCUGUUCUAUGAACGUGUUUUCCUGUCUUUUUACGAAUAUCACCCCAUCCCGAUCACUACAGUUCUGUCGGAAGGCUUAAGACCCAGUAGAGUCAGUCAUCCUGCUUUGUUUUUCUCCUUCCAUAUUGUGCUGCUUUUCUGGACUUUUUGACUCUCCAUAUACAUUUUAUUUUAUUAAAAAAAUUUUUUUUGUCUUUUUAGGGCCACACCUGUGGCACAUGGAGGUUCCCAUGCUAGGGGUCCAGUUGGAGCUGAAGCUGCUGGCCUGCACCACAGCCACAGCAACACGGGAUCUGAGCCACAUCUGAGACCGACACCCCAGCUCAUGGCAACGCUGGUCCUUCACCCACUGAGCGAGGCCAGGGAUCGACCCCACAUCCUCAUGGAUGCUAGUCAGGUUCACUAACCGCUGAGCCAUGAGGGGAACUCCUCCAUGUACGUUUUAGAAUCCAUUUGUGGUAUCCACAAAGAGCUGCCUAGGAUUUUGAGUGGGAUGCCUUAAAUCUACAGAUCAAAUUCGGAAGAGCUGGCCUCUUAACCACUGCCUUCCUCUCCACGAGCUUGGAACCUCUCUCCACUCAAUUAGUUCUUCUUUGAUUUCUUUCAUCGGUUUUGUAGCUUUCCUCACAUAGAUUUUGUUCCCGUUUUGUUAGGUUUAUUGUAAGCAUUUCCUUUUUCGGGGGCUCAUGUACAUGAUACUGUGUUUUAAAUGUCAAUUUCCAGUUGUUCAUUGCUAGUAUAUGAACUAGGAAUGUGACUUUUGUAUUUUAAGCUUAUAUCCUGCAGUCUUGCUAUAAUUGCUUAUUAGUCCCCAGAGUUUACUGAUUCUUCGGAUUUUCUGCUUAGAUGACGUGCCAUUUGCGCACAAACACAGCCUUAGUCCUUCCUUCCCAACCUGCAUACCUUUUAUUUCCUUUUCUUGCCCAACUGCAUUAGCAAAGACGUUCCAUACAAGGUUGAGAAGGUGGUACAGCUGGUUUUUCCGCUCAGCAGUGGAUAUUUUGUUGUUUCUGGGUUUUGCCUGCUCUGAGGAGAGCUGCUUUGUUCAGAUCAUACAGCACAUGUGUGGACAUAUGUGCUCUCUUCUCAUGGGGAAGCGCCCAGGCGUGGGAUGCUGCAUUGCAGGUCAAAGAGAUGCCGGACGGUCCGAGGCGCAGCCGAGCUCCUGUCCAGGGCGGGUUUCUGAUGGGCAGCGUGUCGGUGGCUUUUGACGCUCAUCUGAUAGUCUCUGCCUUCCAGUCAGAGUAUUUAGACCAUUUAAGUUUUGCUGACUCUGGAUGGAGAGGGUUGAAACCUACCCUCUUCCUAAAGCUUUUUGCUUUUGUCCUGUUUGUCCUUUGUUACUUCCCCCUUUUUUGCCUUCUCUUGGGGCCUCUUCUACAAUUCCAUUUUACUGCACCUGUCAGCUGACCGGUGACCCUUUGGGGGCUUUUCAGUGACGGGGCAGCACCGUGACUCUCACGUUCGCCCCUCGCUCAGACGCAGAAGAAUUCAGAGACACGGGUCUCUGCAGGGCUUCCUGCCCACUAGGAGUUUGCAGCGUCUGCCUCAUGUGGGAGAGAGGUCCAGGGACUGCCCAGUUUCUCCUCUGCAGCCCUCAGGGCGGCGGCAGGGGGUGGGGGGGGAAUUCCGUCCCUCUUCUGGGCACCUGGCAGCUGGCACAGGCCCUCCCUGUAGCCAAGCCAGCUCCCCAGCUUGUUUUGCCCUUAGGAAUCCAUCAAACCCUCAGCCACAUUCCUUUUAUCUGAGGUCCGGGCCACCGUGCUUUGGUCAGAAUCAUCUGAGGUUUUGUUUGCUUCAUUUUGUUUGGUGCAAGAGGCAAGGAGCAGAUGGUAUACUGUUAACAGAUGGAGAGGAAACCAGAAAGCCUCCAGUCUCUUCUCUGCUUCCUUUAUGUAAAAACGGAGUUCCUGCAGAAAGGACACGCAGGCUUGCUGGGAGUGAGAUCCCAACAGAGAAGAACGCGACACCUGCUCUCCAAGGGCGUGUGGGCGGUCCGACCCAGAUAACCUGAAAGACCUUGGGAACGCGUGUGAAGUGCUUGGAGGGAACCUCUCUGGAAUCUUGAAGAACGAGACAGACACCAGGACAGAGGAGGUGGCAGACGCGCCAGCUCUCGGGGCGGGGAGGAGGGAGACUACGGAUGCGCAAGCUCACUGUCCACAGGUCCUUGGAGGAUCCGUUCAGCACUCCAGGUGAGGGUGCGCCAGAAAGAGCAGCCUGGACGUUCCAAACCCUUCGAAGCAUAGCAGCGCCGUCAAGGCACCAACAGGUAAACCUCAGGCCGGAGAAGCCACAGGGGUUUCCAGCCACAGCGGCCAAGCUGAGCUCCAGCGUUUCAAGCAACCCCUUCAAGAAAGAGCCGACUUGGGGGUCCCCAUGCCGCUCACUCAGAGAACCAGCCCCUCUCGUCAAUUCCUUCUCCCAGCUGCGUGGGCAUUUGAUACCAGGUCCCCGAAGGGUAAGCCCUUGCACAGAGACCUCUCCACUGUCCGCACCCCCGGACGAGGGCACGAUUUCAGAACACCUGCUCUCCUUGCCGUCACAUCUCCACGUGACUCCCAGCCCACGAGCCACCUCUGCAAAGGACCGAGGCCAGCAAACCUCUUCCUGAUGUACAACCAGUGGGACUCAGCUUCCUCCUGGACCGAUUCACUUCUCACAAAAUUAUCCUGACAGCCUCGCUUGCUGACCUCGGGGAACCCAGACUGAACCCGUUGCCUUGCCUUUGGGACCAGGACGGGCGUUGUUUAAAGAUGGGCCCUGUAUGUCGCUCCAGAUCAGAAUGUUUUCCUUUUAUAGCAUUUUAACAGCUUUUCCCAGAAAACAUCAGCCU
Molecule: long non-coding RNA, 2982 nt
Filed under: Sus scrofa (pig)
Lineage: Eukaryota; Metazoa; Chordata; Mammalia; Artiodactyla; Suidae
Description: lncRNA (ENSSSCG00030068682.1)
Source: RNAcentral